UAAAAGGGUUGGUUGGCUAUGUAUGCCACACACAUCUUUUAUUUAAUGGAUGUUGUAUGGUUAUCAAGACAUAUAUCCGACAUAAUUUAUGGAAGAUAUAGGAUUGACUUGCUCGGCUAACCCUUU
Small nuclear RNA from Dendrobium catenatum, 126 nucleotides. RefSeq annotates it as U11 spliceosomal RNA. NCBI's taxonomy places the organism in Eukaryota, Viridiplantae, Streptophyta, Magnoliopsida, Asparagales, Orchidaceae. The transcript has a single exon. The record is from RefSeq and is a predicted model, not a curated record.